Molecule: ribosomal RNA, 496 nt
Filed under: uncultured bacterium
Lineage: Bacteria
Description: partial 16S ribosomal RNA
Rfam family: Bacterial small subunit ribosomal RNA
Source: RNAcentral
AUGAACGCUGGCGGCGUGCCUAAUACAUGCAAGUCGAGCGAACGGAUGAGAAGCUUGCUUCUCUGAUGUUAGCGGCGGACGGGUGAGUAACACGUGGAUAACCUACCUAUAAGACUGGGAUAACUUCGGGAAACCGGAGCUAAUACCGGAUAAUAUUUUGAACCGCAUGGUUCAAAAGUGAAAGACGGUCUUGCUGUCACUUAUAGAUGGAUCCGCGCUGCAUUAGCUAGUUGGUAAGGUAACGGCUUACCAAGGCAACGAUGCAUAGCCGACCUGAGAGGGUGAUCGGCCACACUGGAACUGAGACACGGUCCAGACUCCUACGGGAGGCAGCAGUAGGGAAUCUUCCGCAAUGGGCGAAAGCCUGACGGAGCAACGCCGCGUGAGUGAUGAAGGUCUUCGGAUCGUAAAACUCUGUUAUUAGGGAAGAACAUAUGUGUAAGUAACUGUGCACAUCUUGACGGUACCUAAUCAGAAAGCCACGGCUAACUACGUG